Molecule: ribosomal RNA, 579 nt
Filed under: Trichoderma simplex
Lineage: Eukaryota; Fungi; Ascomycota; Sordariomycetes; Hypocreales; Hypocreaceae
Description: eukaryotic LSU rRNA
Rfam family: 5.8S ribosomal RNA (bases 202-355)
Source: RNAcentral
CCGAGUUUACAACUCCCAAACCCAAUGUGAACGUUACCAAACUGUUGCCUCGGCGGGAUCUUCUGCCCCGGGUGCGUCGCAGCCCCGGACCAAGGCGCCCGCCGGAGGACCAACCCAAAACUCUUAUUGUAUACCCCUCGCGGGUUUUUUAUAAUCUGAGCCUUCUCGGCGCCUCUCGUAGGCGUUUCGAAAAUGAAUCAAAACUUUCAACAACGGAUCUCUUGGUUCUGGCAUCGAUGAAGAACGCAGCGAAAUGCGAUAAGUAAUGUGAAUUGCAGAAUUCAGUGAAUCAUCGAAUCUUUGAACGCACAUUGCGCCCGCCAGUAUUCUGGCGGGCAUGCCUGUCCGAGCGUCAUUUCAACCCUCGAACCCCUCCGGGGGGUCGGCGUUGGGGAUCGGCCUCCUCUCACGGGGGCCGUCUCCGAAAUACAGUGGCGGUCUCGCCGCAGCCUCUCCUGCGCAGUAGUUUGCACACUCGCAUCGGGAGCGCGGCGCGUCCACAGCCGUUAAACACCCCAAACUUCUGAAAUGUUGACCUCGGAUCAGGUAGGAAUACCCGCUGAACUUAAGCAUAUCUAA